RNAcentral lists this ribosomal RNA (814 nucleotides) under Arthrobacter sp. RNAcentral describes it as "bacterial SSU rRNA". It matches the Rfam family "Bacterial small subunit ribosomal RNA", at positions 69 to 893 of the family's 1533-position model. Lineage: Bacteria; Bacillati; Actinomycetota; Actinomycetes; Micrococcales; Micrococcaceae. The record is from RNAcentral.
AUGAAGCCUAGCUUGCUGGGUGGAUUAGUGGCGAACGGGUGAGUAACACGUGAGUAACCUGCCCUUGACUCUGGGAUAAGCCUGGGAAACUGGGUCUAAUACCGGAUACGACCAUUGCCCGCAUGGGUUGGUGGUGGAAAGCUUUUGUGGUUUUGGAUGGACUCGCGGCCUAUCAGCUUGUUGGUGAGGUAAUGGCUCACCAAGGCGACGACGGGUAGCCGGCCUGAGAGGGUGACCGGCCACACUGGGACUGAGACACGGCCCAGACUCCUACGGGAGGCAGCAGUGGGGAAUAUUGCACAAUGGGCGAAAGCCUGAUGCAGCGACGCCGCGUGAGGGAUGACGGCCUUCGGGUUGUAAACCUCUUUCAGUAGGGAAGAAGCGAAAGUGACGGUACCUGCAGAAGAAGCGCCGGCUAACUACGUGCCAGCAGCCGCGGUAAUACGUAGGGCGCAAGCGUUAUCCGGAAUUAUUGGGCGUAAAGAGCUCGUAGGCGGUUUGUCGCGUCUGCUGUGAAAGGCCAGGGCUCAACCCUGGUUCUGCAGUGGGUACGGGCAGACUUGAGUGAUGUAGGGGAGACUGGAAUUCCUGGUGUAGCGGUGAAAUGCGCAGAUAUCAGGAGGAACACCGAUGGCGAAGGCAGGUCUCUGGGCAUUAACUGACGCUGAGGAGCGAAAGCAUGGGGAGCGAACAGGAUUAGAUACCCUGGUAGUCCAUGCCGUAAACGUUGGGCACUAGGUGUGGGGGACAUUCCACGUUUUCCGCGCCGUAGCUAACGCAUUAAGUGCCCCGCCUGGGGAGUACGGCCGCAAGG